GACGAACGCUGGCGGCGUGCUUAACACAUGCAAGUCGAACGGAAAGGCCCUGCUUUUGUGGGGUGCUCGAGUGGCGAACGGGUGAGUAACACGUGAGUAACCUGCCCUUGACUUUGGGAUAACUUCAGGAAACUGGGGCUAAUACCGGAUAGGAGCUCCUGCUGCAUGGUGGGGGUUGGAAAGUUUCGGCGGUUGGGGAUAGACUCGCGGCUUAUCAGCUUGUUGGUGGGGUAGUGGCUUACCAAGGCUUUGACGGGUAGCCGGCCUGAGAGGGUGACCGGGCACAUUGGGACUGAGGUACGGCCCAGAAUGCUACGGGAGGCAACAGUGGGGAAUAUUGCACAGUGGGCGGAAGCCUGAUGCAGCAACGCCGCGUGCGGGAUGACGGCCUUCGGGUUGUAAACAGCUUUCGCCGGUGACGAAGAGGGAGUGACGGUAAUGGGUAAAGAAGCACCGGCUAACUACGUG
RNAcentral lists this ribosomal RNA (468 nucleotides) under uncultured bacterium. Its description in RNAcentral is "partial 16S ribosomal RNA". It matches the Rfam family "Bacterial small subunit ribosomal RNA", at positions 28 to 507 of the family's 1533-position model. The record is from RNAcentral.